UGGGGAAUUUUGGACAAUGGGCGAAAGCCUGAUCCAGCAAUGCCGCGUGUGUGAAGAAGGCCUUCGGGUUGUAAAGCACUUUUGUCCGGAAAGAAAUGGCUCUGGUUAAUACCUGGGGUCGAUGGCGGUACCGGAAGAAUAAGGACCGGCUAACUACGUGCCAGCAGCCGCGGUAAUACGUAGGGUCCAAGCGUUAAUCGGAAUUACUGGGCGUAAAGCGUGCGCAGGCGGUUGUGCAAGACCGAUGUGAAAUCCCCGAGCUUAACUUGGGAAUUGCAUUGGUGACUGCACGGCUAGAGUGUGUCAGAGGGGGGUAGAAUUCCACGUGUAGCAGUGAAAUGCGUAGAGAUGUGGAGGAAUACCGAUGGCGAAGGCAGCCCCCUGGGAUAACACUGACGCUCAUGCACGAAAGCGUGGGGAACAAACAGG
This 429-nucleotide ribosomal RNA is filed under the name Bacillota bacterium. Its description in RNAcentral is "Firmicutes bacterium partial 16S ribosomal RNA". It matches the Rfam family "Bacterial small subunit ribosomal RNA", at positions 355 to 776 of the family's 1533-position model. Lineage: Bacteria; Bacillati; Bacillota. The record is from RNAcentral.